RNA transcript from Rhodamnia argentea, 1368 nucleotides. It is a transcript of the gene named O-methyltransferase 1, chloroplastic, with no coding region annotated. Lineage: Eukaryota; Viridiplantae; Streptophyta; Magnoliopsida; Myrtales; Myrtaceae. The record is from RefSeq and is a predicted model, not a curated record. The transcript is spliced from 8 exons.
UGUUCGAUUCGGUCGGCCUGAUUCCAUUCAGCCACCGGUUCGAUGCUGAAACGACGUCUCGAAAAAGAUAGACGCUGGCUCGGUGCUCGGGGCAACCAGGGUCCAGGACAUUGACUGCGGAUUGAACUCGGCUCAACAGGCGUCGUAGAAGUUCCUCCCCAUAGAGGCCCACGUAUAGAGAGCGAAAGACGGGACGAUGAGACCUUCGAUUCAGUUCGCUGUCUGACCAUGAUGAGAACGGAGUAUUUGAUGGGGUUCGGAGUUGCCCCAGCCACUCCUGCCUGGCGGCCGAAGCUAAUGGGUGCUUAUGCUGUUCGACUGAGAGCAAAACUCGGCGACGAGAGUGAACCAUUCCUCCAAUCUGCCCUCAAUGCCGCGUCUCUUCGUUUCCGAGAGACCCUUCAACCAGAGCCUCUUUUUGUCGAUCCAUAUGCCGGUUGUUUUGUCUCUACUGAUAAUGAAGUGGACAUGAAGAAGCAGACACACCAUUAUUGUCUUGCAACUAAAUAUAUCGAUGACAAGUUGCUUCAUACUAUCCAUCGUAUGGAUGGGCUCAAGCAGAUUGUUUUGCUAACAGAUGGCAUGGAUACUCGUCCUUAUAGACUUAAUUGGCCAAGUUCAACCUUGAUAUUUGACAUAUCUCCAGAUGAAUUGUACAAAAAAGCAGCCGAAAAACUUGAAGGUGUUGGGGCUAAAAUUUCAAGAAGUUGCUUGUUCUAUCACAUCCCCUUGGUGUCAUCCAAUUUGCAGCAGGUUUUGCACACACAGGGCUUCAAUGGAAGUCGACCAAGUAUAUGGGUCAUCCAGGGCUUGCCUCUUAUAAAUGUGACAAGUUUCAAGGAUAUCUUGUUUGUUGUUAGUAGUAUGGCCAUGAAUGGUAGCCUUUUCUUGGGGGAGUUGCCUGGCUGGCUGGCAGAGACUGGAAUCGGAAGAAAUUUUGAUUCUGGAAAAUGGAUGGACAAGCUUUUCAUGAGCAAUGGUUUUCGAGUGAACAUAAUUAGCUACGACGAAGUUGCAAGGAACUUUGGCAAGCAAUUGACAUCAGAAGAAUACAGCAAAAUACUAUUUGUUGCAGAGCAGUUGCGAUUUUCUGAUGCCCAGAUGGAAACGUGGAGGAGAGAAUUCCAGAGAGUCGAGGAAGAGGGGGAUGAAGAAGGAUUUGAGGAACUCUGAGAUGCAAAGGCAAUCUUAAUCCCUCUAUUCCUUCUCUUUGUCAGAGGCUUCAACGCCUCUCCCAUUUGCUGUUGUCAGAAAUAGUCGCGAUUGGAAGAUCGCCGUUCUAGGGGAUUCCCGGAUUCCUCUCACCUCAUUCUGAGCAGAUGUUUGCAUCUGAUGAAGAUGGUCCCUUUUCUCUCUGUAGUUUGUGGG